RNAcentral lists this ribosomal RNA (515 nucleotides) under uncultured bacterium. Its description in RNAcentral is "partial 16S ribosomal RNA". It matches the Rfam family "Bacterial small subunit ribosomal RNA", at positions 28 to 523 of the family's 1533-position model. The record is from RNAcentral.
GACGAACGCUGGCGGCGUGCCUAAUACAUGCAAGUCGAGCGGACUUUCAAGAAGCUUGCUUUUUGAAAGUUAGCGGCGGACGGGUGAGUAACACGUGGGCAACCUGCCUGUAAGACGGGGAUAACUCCGGGAAACCGGGGCUAAUACCGGAUAAUAUAUUUCUUCGCAUGAAGGAAGGUUGAAAGGCGGCGCAAGCUGCCGCUUGCAGAUGGGCCCGCGGCGCAUUAGCUAGUUGGGGAGGUAACGGCUCACCAAGGCGACGAUGCGUAGCCGACCUGAGAGGGUGAUCGGCCACACUGGGACUGAGACACGGCCCAGACUCCUACGGGAGGCAGCAGUAGGGAAUCUUCCGCAAUGGACGAAAGUCUGACGGAGCAACGCCGCGUGAGCGAAGAAGGUCUUCGGAUCGUAAAGCUCUGUUGUCAGGGAAGAACAAGUACCGUUCGAAUAGGGCGGUACCUUGACGGUACCUGACCAGAAAGCCACGGCUAACUACGUGCCAGCCGCCGCGGUAA